Molecule: ribosomal RNA, 377 nt
Filed under: uncultured bacterium
Lineage: Bacteria
Description: partial 16S ribosomal RNA
Rfam family: Bacterial small subunit ribosomal RNA
Source: RNAcentral
CCUACGGGUGGCAGCAGUGGGGAAUAUUGGACAAUGUGUGGAACCCUGAUCCAGCGACGCCGCGUGAGUGAAGAAGUAUUUCGGUAUGUAAAGCUCUAUCUGUAGGGAAGAAAGUAAUGACGGUACCUUACUAAGAAGCCCCAGCUAACUACAGGCAUGCAGACCCGGUAAUACGUCGGGCGCAAGCGUUAUCCGGAUUUACGGGGUGUAAAGGGAGCGUAGAAGGCGAUGCAAGUCAGAAGGGAAAGGCGGGGGGCAAACCCCCGGAGUGAUGUUGAAACUGGAUGGCGGGAGUGCAGGUGAGGUAAGAGGAAUACGUAGUGUAGCGGUGAAAUGCGUAGAUAUUAGGAGGAACACUCGUAGCGAAGGCGGCUUAC